Molecule: ribosomal RNA, 123 nt
Filed under: uncultured bacterium
Lineage: Bacteria
Description: partial 16S ribosomal RNA
Rfam family: Bacterial small subunit ribosomal RNA
Source: RNAcentral
CUCCUACGGGAGGCAGCAGUGGGGAAUAUUGCGCAAUGGGCGGAAGCCUGACGCAGCGACGCCGCGUGGGGGAUGAAGGCCUUCGGGUUGUAAACCUCUUUCAGCAGGGACGAAGUUGACGUG